GUUGCUAACGUUUUCCAGGUGGUUGCUAAGUGGUUGCUAGGUAGUUGCUAACGUAUUCCAGGUGGUUGCUAGGCAGUUGCUAAGUGGUUGCUAGGCAGUUGCUAACGUUUUCCAGGUGGUUGCUCAGUGGUUGCUAGGCAGUUGCUAACGUUUUCCAGGUGGUUGCUAAGUGGUUGCUUGGCAGUUGCUAACGUAUUCCAGGCGGUUGCUAGGCAGUUGCUAAGUGGUUGCUAGGCAGUUGCUAACGUUUUCCAAGUGGUUGCUAGGCAGAUGCUAAGUGGUUGCUAGGCAGUUGCUAACGUUUUCCAGGUGGUUGCUAAGUGGUUGCUAGGCAGUUGCUAACGUAUUCCAGGUGGUUGCUAGGCAGUUGCUAAGUGGUUGCUAGGCAGUUGCUAACGUUUUCCAGGUGGUUGCUCAGUGGUUGCUAGGCAGUUGCUAACGUUUUCCAGGUGGUUGCUAAGUGGUUGCUAGGCAGUUGCUAACGUAU
Long non-coding RNA from Astyanax mexicanus (Mexican tetra), 487 nucleotides. RefSeq lists it as uncharacterized. The transcript is spliced from 3 exons. Lineage: Eukaryota; Metazoa; Chordata; Actinopteri; Characiformes; Acestrorhamphidae. The record is from RefSeq and is a predicted model, not a curated record.